UGCCGUGCGUGCGGGGCGGCGUGAGUAGUGGUGUGCGCGCGUGUGCCCCGCGUGUGCGUGAGAGAAAGUGAGAUCAUUGUGUUGUUUAUUAAUAAUUUGGCCUGUAAUGUUGGUCUUCCAUAUUGCUUUACUAUUGAUAUAAAUGCAUCGCGUGUUCACACAGGCGUACCGUACCGUACCGUAUAUGCCUUACAAGCAAGUUUAAUUGACGGCACGGAUUUGAUACGUGAUAUUGAUAAGUUCUCAGGCUCAGUCAAUCUAACUCUCAGUUAAUUAAGGUGUCUAACGCCAAUGCCGCAUGUAAUCGUACACCGCAGAACCAUAGAUAGAAGAAGGUUCUCUAUCUAAUGGUCUGGUAACCGCCUUUGGUAACUAGAGUCCCUUCUAUAUAAAGGAACUCUAGGUAACGUGUGCUCGCUGCGCUACCUGGUGGCGGCAAGGUACGGCUGGCGGGAUGAUAGGAAUUACUGAUAGCGUAAACAGAUCUAUUCUAUAACCGAGAUCAGGCCCGUAGGAAGGUAUAUGACAUUGGGGUGGCAAUGGGUUAUAGACGUGCUAGCCAGUCUGCGAGACCCGUAGCGCCCAGAUUGGGGAGAUAGUCUGGAAAGAAUAGAAAAUUUUUGAAUUUUCAAUAUUGAAAUGAUGCUUUCUCGUGCACACUGGCAUUGCAAAUUGCAAUUGCAAAUUGCAAUUGUAAAUUGAUAGUGGCUGUGUAUUAAUAACUUAAACAAAUGUCUGGAAAUUAUUGGGGGGCAGGCGCCCCCCCCAGUUCCUACGGGCCUGACGGAAAUGGAGAAUAUUCUGCUCGUAGUAGAACCUAGUGGCAAUUUGUUUCCGAUUGAACUUGUUGAGGUUUUCUCCCAAUGAAUGACUGAUAUAAUUCUCUGAAUGUUUCUUGGAUCGAAACGAUCCGUAUCAAUGCAUACGAAUGAUGUGAUGAGGAAAUGGAUACUUUCGUUGAAGUUUAUUUAUUACAACGAUCAACACUGCCACCGUAUUUUGGGAUGAUCGACCUUUUACUUUUUUGCCAUCCAGUCGGUGUAUGAUAAAGGACGAUGGAGUGGCUAUUAUAUGGAAGUAAUUUGUUUGCAAAUACUUACUUAUUGAUUUGUUUAAAGGUGCAAACACUUAGGAGGACCGGGUGCGUGCGCUAGUGACAACUGGCUCAUUGAACUCUUAUUAUGUAUUUUGUACUUUAAUUCCUGCGUAUUGUUUUGUCACUUUUCGGUAACAGGGGUAAGACCCUGCGAGUAGUUUUUUGCACCUUUGCAAAAAAAUGCACCACAAUUAUGUUCGCCUGUAGUAGCAAAGACGACAACCAUAAACAUGUGCAACUCUGAACUACUAGUUGUUAAUCUAUUUUUGAUAGUAGCGAUGUUCCUUUUGUUGGUAUUUGGUGUGUGUGUGCAGUAGCGGAAGUAUCGUCGUGAUAUAGCUCUGUAGCCAUGUUGUUCAAAAUAAGUCGGUGCGCACGAUUCAUGUAUGCCCUAACUAGACAUUAUAAAAUGAUAAAUAUUUAAUUAGACGAGCAUAUAUUAUUUGCUUGGCAUUCCUCCGAAUACCAUCCAUGUGAUGUGGUGUGUAUAUAUAUAUAUAUCUAUAUUAUAUAUAUAUAUGUAUGACAGGCUUUGAUCUGAAUAAAAUUUGACCAAAUGAUGAGCAUGAAUA
This 1668-nucleotide long non-coding RNA is filed under the name Priapulus caudatus. RNAcentral describes it as "uncharacterized LOC106817725". The record is from RNAcentral. Lineage: Eukaryota; Metazoa; Priapulida; Priapulimorpha; Priapulimorphida; Priapulidae.